CCUGACUGCUAUCGGAUUGGUACUAAGCCAUGCGAGUCGUUGUAGCAAUACAAGGCGGACGGCUCAGUAACACGUAGUCAACCUAACCUAUGGACGUGGAUAACCUCGGGAAACUGAGAAUAAACCGCGAUAGAUCAUUAUGCCUGGAAUGGCUUAUGGUUUAAACAAUUUAUUGCCGUAGGAUGGGACUGCGGCCUAUCAGCUUGUUGGUGAGGUAAUGGCCCACCAAGGCGAUUACAGGUACGGGCUCUGAGAGGAGAAGCUCGGAGAUGGGUACUGAGACACGGACCCAGGCCCUAUGGGGCGCAGCAGGCGAGAAACCUUAGCAAUGUGCGAAAGCACGACUGGGUCAGUCCGAGUGAUUCCUGAUAAAGGAGUCUUUUGCUUGUCCUAAAAACACAGGUGAAUAAGGGGUGGGCAAGUCUGGUGUCAGCCGCCGCGGUAAUACCAGCACCUCGAGUGGUCAGGACGUUUAUUGGGCCUAAAGCAUCCGUAGCCGGCUUUGCAAGUCUUCGGUUAAAUCCACCUGCUCAACAGAUGGGCCGCUGGAGAUACUACAGAGCUAGGGAGUGGGAGAGGCAGACGGUAUUCAGUGGGUAGGGGUAAAAUCCUCUGAUCCAUUGAGGACCACCAGUGGCGAAGGCGGUCUGCCAGAACACGUUCGACGGUGAGGGAUGAAAGCUGGGGGAGCAAACCGGAUUAGAUACCCGGGUAGUCCCAGCUGUAAACGAUGCAAACUCGGUGAUGCAUUGGCUUAUGGCCAAUGCAGUGCCGCAGGGAAGCCGUUAAGUUUGCCGCCUGGGAAGUACGGACGCAAGUCUGAAACUUAAAGGAAUUGGCGGGGGAGCACCACAAGGGGUGAAGCCUGCGGUUCA
RNAcentral lists this ribosomal RNA (875 nucleotides) under uncultured crenarchaeote. RNAcentral's name for it is "bacterial SSU rRNA". It matches the Rfam family "Archaeal small subunit ribosomal RNA", at positions 21 to 904 of the family's 1478-position model. The record is from RNAcentral. Lineage: Archaea; Thermoproteati; Thermoproteota.